This 253-nucleotide ribosomal RNA is filed under the name uncultured bacterium. RNAcentral describes it as "partial 16S ribosomal RNA". It matches the Rfam family "Bacterial small subunit ribosomal RNA", at positions 524 to 776 of the family's 1533-position model. The record is from RNAcentral.
UACGGAGGGGACUAGCGUUGUUCGGAAUUACUGGGCGUAAAGCGCACGUAGGCGGAUUUGUAAGUCAGGGGUGAAAUCCCGGGGCUCAACCUCGGAACUGCCUUUGAUACUGCAAAUCUCGAGUCCGGAAGAGGUGAGUGGAAUUCCUAGUGUAGAGGUGAAAUUCGUAGAUAUUAGGAAGAACACCAGUGGCGAAGGCGGCUCACUGGCCCGGUACUGACGCUGAGGUGCGAAAGCGUGGGGAGCAAACAGG